RNAcentral lists this ribosomal RNA (441 nucleotides) under uncultured bacterium. Its description in RNAcentral is "partial 16S ribosomal RNA". It matches the Rfam family "Bacterial small subunit ribosomal RNA", at positions 28 to 506 of the family's 1533-position model. The record is from RNAcentral.
GAUGAACGCUGGCGGCGUGCCUUAUACAUGCAAGUCGAGUGGGUUUAGACCCACGGCCACCGGGUGAGUAACACGUAGGUACUUUCCUUGUCACAGGAAUAACCCUCCGAAAGGAGGGCUAAUACCUGAUGUGAUCGCAAGAUUAAAGGGUAUCCGCAAGGAUUACCGGACAAGAAGAGGCCUGCGGCCUAUCAGCUAGUUGGCGGGGUAAAUGCCCACCAAGGCUAUGACGGGUAGCUGGUCUUAUGAGGAUGAUCAGUCACAUGGGCACUGAGACAAGGGCCCAACUCCUACGGGAGGCAGCAGUAGGGAAUUUUGCGCAAUGGACGAAAGCCUGACGCAGCGACGCCGCGUGCGGGAUGAAGGCCUUCGGGUCGUAAACCGCUUUUAUAAGGGACGAACUUUGACGGUACCUUAGGAAUAAGAGGUUGCUAACUCUGU